GGUGUCCAAUUUGUCAAGAAGAAGUUGAAACUGUAAUGCAUAGUGAUGGCGGCGGUUUUCGUCAGCAUAAGUCGUAGCAAAUAUGCUUUAGAAUUCCAUAACUAACACUAAAAGAUCCUCCCUGGUCUUCAGCCUGGUUCAAUAAUUUCUUCAAUUAGAAUUAGGGUUUUGAUUUGGGGCUUCAUUCGGGUUCAAUUCUUUGAGUUUAAGGAGUGGACUGAUCCGGUCAUAAUCAAGACAAAGAUGACACGCUUAUAGACUCAGGUCAUAUGCAGAAGGUGCUGACUAGGCGAUCACUCAAUCAGUCUUUUUUUGAAAGAUGUAAAAGCCUUUGCCAUUAUCAAAGAUACCUCAUAAUUUUUUUUGGAUACUUUUUGAUUCUAUUGCAUUUUGGUACUCUAAUAGAACUUCAGACGGA
Molecule: long non-coding RNA, 418 nt
Organism: Daucus carota subsp. sativus
Lineage: Eukaryota; Viridiplantae; Streptophyta; Magnoliopsida; Apiales; Apiaceae
Exons: 3
Source: RefSeq, a predicted model, not a curated record